AACGAGCGAGACCCACGCCAACAGUUGCCAGGCUCGGUCCUCCGGGGAUGGUGGGGCAACUGUUGGGACCGCCUCUGCUAAAGAGGAGGAAGGAAUGGGCAACGGUAGGUCAGCAUGCCCCGAAUUAUCUGGGCUACACGCGGGCUACAAUGGGUGGGACAAUGGGUAUCGACACCGAAAGGUGAAGGCAAUCUCCUAAACCCAUCCGUAGUUCGGAUUGUGGGCUGCAACUCGCCCACAUGAAGCUGGAAUCUGUAGUAAUCGUGUCUCAAAAUGGCACGGUGAAUAUGUCCCUGCUCCUU
This 302-nucleotide ribosomal RNA is filed under the name uncultured Methanomicrobiales archaeon. RNAcentral's name for it is "bacterial SSU rRNA". It matches the Rfam family "Archaeal small subunit ribosomal RNA", at positions 1040 to 1338 of the family's 1478-position model. Lineage: Archaea; Methanobacteriati; Methanobacteriota; Methanomicrobia; Methanomicrobiales. The record is from RNAcentral.